Molecule: long non-coding RNA, 1990 nt
Organism: Rhipicephalus sanguineus (brown dog tick)
Lineage: Eukaryota; Metazoa; Arthropoda; Arachnida; Ixodida; Ixodidae
Exons: 4
Source: RefSeq, a predicted model, not a curated record
UGGAGGCGUUGGUCAAUGGGACAAUUGUGCACGGAAAUUUCGCCACAAGUCCCCCUGUAUCGCGGCAUGAAGCACAUCUUUUUUAUUAUUAUUAUUCAGAUACCGCGCUUGCAAUAAUUUUAGAAUAAAAUAUUGUCACUACGCUUCGCUUCGCUUUCUUAAAGCAUUAUUUUAAACGGCACUCAGUGUCCGGUCUUCCUCUUCAUCUGCCGCGUGGCGCGUGGAAGCUCCCAAAGUGUCAGCUAUGCGUGCCUACUCCGUGAUUGGGACCACACUGGUUAUUCUCAUCUCAACUUCGCACAGUUCAGGGUUCGACGUUGUUUUCCCGGAGACAGGGUGCCCAGAGCUUAAACAAGAACAAACUAGGGGUCCUAUUCAGCCACUGAGUGCGCCUCAACUGAAAGGAAUAGGCGAGUCCUGCAAAAUUACCACCGAAUGCCAACAAGGAUUGGGCUGCUUACAGCAGGACCAUGUCGACACUUGCCAGUGGAUGUCAUUGUUUGGUGAAAGCUGUUCACCUUAUCAGAUCAAAGGCGGUGUCUACAACGAGGAUGGUCCCUGCCUUAACGGGGAUGGCUACUGUAUAAAUGGAACAUGCAUCGCAUAGCAGUAUGCCCCUUUCGUAACAAAAGGCGUGCUCAAAAUGACAACAGCCGGAUUAUGACUAAAAUUACUAUUGAUAUCCCAUUGGAAUGGAAGCCUUCGCAAAUGGCCACGCAACCUGAUCGAGCUACGUUCGUUUUGCUAGAUUCGUUAACGCCUAGAAUAUGACGUAGGCCCGCUUUCUUCGGGUCAUACUGAGAAGACAUCUUGUCAUUUUAUUGCAAUGAACUCAGUCGCUUGUGGACUAUUCCUCCAGCCAGCUCAUCAUUCAUUCUCCCCAGUAAGAAUAUUUGCUUCUGGGUGCCCUUGUUCCUAGACAGGCACCUACAGCCUUAAAUAGGAUGGCUCUAUCCUUGUUGAUAUCAUGCUUAUUUCUUUCUUUUCAACUUUCUUUGCGUAUUUGCUCAUCUUGAACCGCUUUUUCGUUCUUUCCUGCAACUUCGUGUAGCCGGUCCUUCAUACGUAUUUCUGACCUUCUUGUCCAUGACUCCUGGUUCUUCGUUAACACUUGCAAUUAACCACUGCUCGAUUGUCGUAUUCCUUUGUGUCUUUCUCCAUGUCGAGCGCACAUUAUUGAGCUACAUAACCCCGCUCACAUCGACCACCCCCGCGUUUUCAUCAGCGUUCUCGAGCCUGUCUUCAAGGCUCAUUUCACGCUUCGAUUCUCUUAAUUUACAACAUACGAACUCCUUUCGUCCUUUGCUGCCUCGUUUGUGCUUUUACCAUAGACCCCGCAUACAGUCACCCCGCUGUCUUUUGGAGAACUUUCUAGUAAGAGCUCGGAUAGUAAACGCAGACUAGCAUUCGCUAAUCAUGUUACCGCUGGCGCCAUUGCUUCUAGCCAAACUAAUCUCAUAUACACUUGUAGAGCCAGCGUUAUCUAUAUUUCACUAUAGCUGCAUGAUCCGUGCUUUUCAUUCUCACACAAUAUUGCGAGAUGGUAAAAGGCAUUUCCUUAUUUGUAUACGUCGAGGCAUUUGUGUGGCUUCCCAUGAGUGUGAAUAAUAAAAUACUGGCCGCAUUUUCAUUAAAGACCAUAAUUGUCAAUUUCUCAGUGCUCAGUUACAUAUGUCGCUUCGCUGACAUUCAUAUUCGCCUCUCUCUGUACAUCUCGUACAUUGUCCGCUCGCAGGUCUCUCUCUCCGCUCACGGGCUCACAUAUGGACAUUCCGUUGCACCAUUUCCCAUUCACGCGUGCAGUUGUAGAAGUAUUCCCUCCUAUUUUGGGAUUACAGUAUGCGUUUAAUACAUACUACACUCUCCUUCAUCCAAUGCCUUCACUAUUUCCUUUUUUCAUAAUGUAUAUUCAUAAUGCCAGAUUGAUAAGCAGAGGGCUGCAACUGAGUAGCUAUCACUUUUCUUGUGUCAAUAAACUCUUGUGGUUAAA